Coffea eugenioides is the source of this 106-nucleotide small nucleolar RNA. The record is from RefSeq and is a predicted model, not a curated record. Lineage: Eukaryota; Viridiplantae; Streptophyta; Magnoliopsida; Gentianales; Rubiaceae.
UAUUGAUGGUGAGGACAUUAAGAGAGAAGUAGCUUAAAGUACUCCCAUGCUUCAUGAAUUGGUUCACCUUCCAUCUAUGAAAAUGUGCAAUCUUGUUUGUUAAGUC